UCGGUUUAAUAAAACAAAGUUUCCCUUUAAUGAUGGUUUCUACAAUGAGUCUCUAAUUGAAUCUAUGCGGGGUAUUCCUCAACAUUCUGUGCUUCCUCUGGUUGUAACUAGUGAUUCUUGUGGGCACACGACAGCACAAGCAACUCCCAGGUCAAACAGAAACUCUAGUAUGGUGUCUUCUCAUAAACAGUCGCAACCCACUCAGUCUUCUUCUAGUACUUCUGCUAGUUUCCCAACAGUAGUUAAAGAAACCUAUUAUUGUUGAUUGAAUUGAGGGUAUUGCAGCAGC
This 289-nucleotide long non-coding RNA is filed under the name Gossypium barbadense (sea-island cotton). RNAcentral describes it as "long non-coding RNA (GBAR_LNC014722)". The record is from RNAcentral. Lineage: Eukaryota; Viridiplantae; Streptophyta; Magnoliopsida; Malvales; Malvaceae.